GGGAUAUCCACACUAGUUUCAGUCAAUCGAUAAAGGUGCCUCUACACCUUAUUGAAUUGUGGGUUUUGUUAAGCUUUUCUGGGAUAAGCAAGAAUUGUUUUUUGAAGACUGCAAAUGUGUUUUUGAGUUGACCUCUGUUAACCUCCCCUCAUCCCAGAGUACCUAUGUUUUUUCCUCCAUUAAGACACAUUAGGUUUUAAAAACAAAUAUUGCAUUUCCAUUUGAUGAGGAUCUCAUUAAAGAAUAAUCAUAAUUUUUUCACUGAGAAUUAAAUAUUUAUAGGCAGAGGAUUCUACUACACAAUUGACAGGACAUGAGAUUUAUUUGUUUUUGGUUUGUUUACUUUGAGGGACAUGCGGAUCAUUUCAUUUUUAUUCAUUUAUUUUCACAGAACAUAAAGAACUACUUAUUAUACAUUAAUAAAUUCCGAAGGGGAAAAAAAGGAACCAUUUUAGGAAUAGGAUUCACUCAGUAAUAACCUAUUGAGCCUACUGGCACAAUCUGAAGCCUUUCUAUGUGACCAAUAACCUCUCCAGGUGAUUUAAGCUAAAUAGAUACAUUGAUCUACUAACUGUCAGGAUCCAGAGAUCUGCCACCUGAUCUCCAGCAGAGAGCGCUGUGGGCCUCCUGAGCUGAUUCCUCUACACACCUGGAGAUCAUCAGCUCAUCAGAGGUCCACACUACUUAAGCAGCUGCCAGACCUUCCUUCGACGCCGGAGUGUUGACCUAGUUUGGAAACCCUGAAGAAGCUCUGGAUGAGCUCCACCUAGAAACCUGCCUGCCUGCUCAUGAAAGCCAAACCUGAAGAUCUCAGUUUGGAUUCCUUCUUCAGCUCUUGGAUAGAGCAAGGAACAAACCCAAGCCAGAAACCUUCUAGCUCGGAACUAGACGCUGCUGCUGCUUAAACUCUCUGCCACAUCAUUGACUCUGGACCUACGGUAUCUCACCUCACGGCUCUGUUACAAUCUCCUCAAGAAACUCUGAGACCAGUCCCGGACCAGUACCAGAACCAGAUCCAGUAUUAUAUCAUUGUACAUCUUUCAAUAAACCUUGUUAAACUUUC
Long non-coding RNA from Cyprinodon tularosa, 1063 nucleotides. RefSeq lists it as uncharacterized. NCBI's taxonomy places the organism in Eukaryota, Metazoa, Chordata, Actinopteri, Cyprinodontiformes, Cyprinodontidae. The record is from RefSeq and is a predicted model, not a curated record. The transcript has 2 exons.